This 468-nucleotide ribosomal RNA is filed under the name uncultured bacterium. RNAcentral's name for it is "partial 16S ribosomal RNA". It matches the Rfam family "Bacterial small subunit ribosomal RNA", at positions 28 to 507 of the family's 1533-position model. The record is from RNAcentral.
GACGAACGCUGGCGGCGUGCUUAACACAUGCAAGUCGAACGGAAAGGCCCUGCUUUUGUGGGGUGCUCGAGUGGCGAACGGGUGAGUAACACGUGAGUAACCUGCCCUUGAUUUUGGGAUAACUUCAGGAAACUGGGGCUAAUACCGGAUAGGAGCUCCUGCUGCAUGGUGGGGGUUGGUUAGUUUCGGCGGUCGGGGGUAGACUCGCGGCUUAUCAGCUUGUUGGUUGGGUAGUGGCUUACCACGGCUUUGACGGGUAGCCGGCCUGAGAGGGUGACCGGCCACAUUGGGACUGAGAUACGGCCCAGACUCCUACGGGCGGCAGCAGUGGGGAAUAUUGCCCAAUGGGCGGAAGCCUGAUGCAGCAACGCCGCGUGCGGGAUGACGGCCUGCGGGUUGUAAACCGCUUUCGCCGGUGACGAAGCGUGAGUGACGGUAAUGGGUAAAGAAGCACCGGCUAACUACGUG